This 418-nucleotide ribosomal RNA is filed under the name uncultured eukaryote. RNAcentral describes it as "bacterial SSU rRNA". It matches the Rfam family "Eukaryotic small subunit ribosomal RNA", at positions 592 to 1018 of the family's 1831-position model. The record is from RNAcentral.
UAAUAGCGUAUAUUAAUGUUGUUGCAGUUAAAAGCUCGUAGUUGGAUUUUGGAGUUUGACAGACGGUCCGCCUAUUCGGUGAGCACUGUCUGUUGGCUCUUCUUUUCUGGGAACCUCACUGCUCUUUAUUGAGGGUGCUGGAACGCAGAUCUUUACUUUGAAAAAUUAGAGUGUUCAAAGCAGGCCAACGCAUUGAAUACAUUAGCAUGGAAUAAUGGAAUAGGACUUUGGUCUUAUUUUGUUGGUUUCUAAGGCCGAGGUAAUGAUUAAUAGGGAUAGUUGGGGGCGUUUAUAUUCCGUUGUCAGAGGUGAAAUUCUUGGAUUUACGGAAGAUAAAACUACUGCGAAAAGCAUUCGCCAAGGAUGUUUUCAUUAAUCAAGAACGAAAGUUAGGGGAUCGAAGAUGAUUAGAUACCAU